AAGGGGGCUAGCGUUGUUCGGAAUCACUGGGCGUAAAGCGCACUGUAGGCGGNUGUGCCAGUCAGGNGUGAAAUCCCGGAGCUCAACUCCGGAACUGCCUNUGAUACUGCACGUCUUGAGUUCGAGAGAGGUGGGUGGAAUUCCNAGUGUAGAGGUGAAAUUCGUAGAUAUUAGGAAGAACACCGGUGGCGAAGGCGGCCCACUGGCUCGAUACUGACGCUGAGGNGCGAAAGCGUGGGGAGCAAACAGGAUUAGAUACCCUGGUAGUCCACGCCUUAAACGAUGGAUGCUAGCCGUCNGCAAGCAUGCUUGUCGGUGGCGCAGCUAACGCAUUAAGCAUCCCGCCUGGGGAGUACGGCCGCAAGGUUA
Molecule: ribosomal RNA, 369 nt
Filed under: uncultured bacterium
Lineage: Bacteria
Description: bacterial SSU rRNA
Rfam family: Bacterial small subunit ribosomal RNA
Source: RNAcentral